This is a long non-coding RNA of Solanum lycopersicum (tomato), 442 nucleotides long. RefSeq lists it as uncharacterized. The record is from RefSeq and is a predicted model, not a curated record. Lineage: Eukaryota; Viridiplantae; Streptophyta; Magnoliopsida; Solanales; Solanaceae.
CAGAUCUUUAUCACUUCGCCGCUUUCUCCUCUCUUUCUUUGAUUUUAUUUCUUCACUUGGGAAUGCUGCCUCCUUAGAUUAAUCUAUCCCUCUGCCUUCUAUUGAUAUGGAAAGAAUUAGCUAACAAUAGUUCCAUGGACUGUUCUUAUUUUUUUUAACAAUUGGAUCCUGUCUAAAGUACAAAAUCCCUUCACUUGGAGAAAGCACGGGUAAACGAUAGAGCUACAACAUCAUCGUUGCAGUUAUCCGGACGUUCAACAUUCAACAGGCUUUGGUAGGUCGUCAUACUUUUGAGGAUGCUGUUGUUUUAUAUUCUAGCGUAGUUUUAGAGAUGAGCUAGUGGAGCAUGUUCCGCUAGCGUUUCCUUCAUGUUUUAUUCAGACUAUGUAUUGGUUCCAUUUUGGCAAUUAUACACUUAAUAAAAAUUGAACUAUUUCUUUUA